AGGGAAACAGCCACAUCAGUUCACCAUGGCUGCUCUUCCAUGGUCCAAAACCUAAGUGCUCCAGGCCUGGUGGGCAAGCAGACGUCUGGACAGACCACACCACAUAGCAGGAAAGGAGAUGGCUUCUCCAGCUCUGCUCUCAUACCAGAGCCUGACAUAUAGGAAGUGCUCAGCAAACAUUUGCCCUAUGAAGAGAUGAAUGAACAGGGCAACUUGGCAGUACUUGUAAAGGUGACGAUGAGCACGCACACGCAGAUCCAGCAAAACCCCAGAGAAAUGCUAACACACGUGUCCAUUGGGAGACACAUAUAAGGGUGUUCACAGCAGCACUCUUCCUUUUCUUCAAUUAUGCAAAGCUACCCACAGGUUCAUAAUCAGGAGACCGGAUGAAUAAGUCAUAAUGUAUUUAUACAAUGGAAUACCAUUACAGCAGUGAAAAUGAAUAAACUCCAGCUACAUGUGUUAACUUGGACACAUCUGAAACAUCCAUAUUAUUUCUGCAGCUGAAUGAUGGUGAAAGGGAGCUGUUGCAUCAAUCUUGAAACCUUCAUGUGUGUCUGAAAUAUUUCAUAAUGAAAAUAAAUGAAAAGAAGAAACGGAUGAAUGAAUGAAUGAAUGAAUGCUGCUUCCUCUCAACCAGAGAGCUGAUUCUCCUGCCUUUUCUUUGUUUUAUGUGUAUGUAUCUCUCUGAGACUUAAGAGCACUUUGGAGUCAGCCUAACCUGAACUGGAACCCUGGCUCUGCCCCUUGAUGCUUUGUGACCUGGUGACCCUGGUACCUCUCUACCCACUUCACAGAUGAGUGUGAGCAUUCACUGAGAUCAUGGCGUGUCUUGAAGUUUAUCUAGCCCAGUUCCCCAUUUCACAGAUGGCAAAAGUGAGGUACAAAUGGAAACUUCAGCUCCUUCCCUAGGAGCUAAAAAGAUAUUUGCUCCUUACCCCACAACACCCUGACAGGACCAGGGAAGAAGGUUGCCCAGAUGGUGAUCUG
This 990-nucleotide long non-coding RNA is filed under the name Homo sapiens (human). Its description in RNAcentral is "HSALNT0283347". The record is from RNAcentral. Lineage: Eukaryota; Metazoa; Chordata; Mammalia; Primates; Hominidae.